UACGUAGGGUGCGAGCGUUAAUCGGAAUUACUGGGCGUAAAGCGUGCGCAGGCGGUGAUGUAAGACAGAUGUGAAAUCCCCGGGCUCAACCUGGGAACUGCAUUUGUGACUGCAUCGCUGGAGUGCGGCAGAGGGGGAUGGAAUUCCGCGUGUAGCAGUGAAAUGCGUAGAUAUGCGGAGGAACACCGAUGGCGAAGGCAAUCCCCUGGGUCUGCACUGACGCUCAUGCACGAAAGCGUGGGGAGCAAACAGG
Molecule: ribosomal RNA, 253 nt
Filed under: uncultured bacterium
Lineage: Bacteria
Description: partial 16S ribosomal RNA
Rfam family: Bacterial small subunit ribosomal RNA
Source: RNAcentral